This 1427-nucleotide ribosomal RNA is filed under the name uncultured Sphingobacteriia bacterium. Its description in RNAcentral is "uncultured Sphingobacteria bacterium 16S ribosomal RNA". It matches the Rfam family "Bacterial small subunit ribosomal RNA". Lineage: Bacteria; Pseudomonadati; Bacteroidota; Sphingobacteriia. The record is from RNAcentral.
GGAUGAACGCUAGCGGCAGGCUUAAUACAUGCAAGUCGAGGGGGCAGCAAUGUCACCGGCGAAUGGGUGCGUAACGCGUAUGCGACCUACCCUUAUCAGGAGGAUAGCCCUAGGAAACUGGGAUUAAUACUGCAUAACAUAUGAACUGGCAUCGGUUUAUAUUAAAAGAUUUAUUGGAUAAGGAUGGGCAUGCGUUAGAUUAGCUAGUUGGAGAGGUAACGGCUCCCCAAGGCAAUGAUCUAUAGGGGCUCUGAGAGGAGUAUCCCCCACACUGGAACUGAGAUACGGUCCAGACUCCUACGGGAGGCAGCAGUAGGGAAUAUUGGUCAAUGGACGGAAGUCUGAACCAGCCAUGCCGCGUGCAGGAAGACGGUCCUCAGGAUUGUAAACUGCUUUUGAUUGGGAAGAAAUGUAGUCUUGCGAGAUUAUUUGACGGUACUAAUAGAAUAAGCACCGGCUAACUCCGUGCCAGCAGCCGCGGUAAUACGGAGGGUGCAAGCGUUAUCCGGAUUUAUUGGGUUUAAAGGGUGCGUAGGCGGCCAUUUAAGUCGGGGGUUAAAGGUAGCCGCUUAACGGUUUUACAUGCCCUCGAUACUGGACGGCUUGAGUUACUUGGAGGUAGCUGGAAUUCCCAGUGUAGCGGUGAAAUGCAUAGAUACUGGGAGGAACACCGAUUGCGAAGGCAUGUUACUACGAGUAAACUGACGCUGAGGCACGAAAGCGUGGGGAUCAAACAGGAUUAGAUACCCUGGUAGUCCACGCCGUAAACUAUGAUUACUAGUUGUUGGGUCGAUAGAUUCAGUGACCAAGGGAAACCGAUAAGUAAUCCACCUGGGGAGUACGUUCGCAAGAAUGAAACUCAAAGGAAUUGACGGGGGUCCGCACAAGCCGUGGAGCAUGUGGUUUAAUUCGAUGAUACGCGAGGAACCUUACCUAGGCUAGAAUGUGAGUGAAUUAUUCAGAGAUGAGUAAGUCUGCAAAGACACGAAACAAGGUGCUGCAUGGCCGUCGUCAGUUCGUGCCGUGAGGUGUUGGGUUAAGUCCCGCAACGAACGCAACCCCUAUAUUCUGUUGCCAUCAUUAAGUUGGGGACUCAGGAUAGACUGCCUACGCAAGUAGAGAGGAAGGAGGGGACGACGUCAGGUCAUCAUGGCCCUUACGCCUAGGGCGACACACGUGCUACAAUGGCAUGGGACAGAGUGCUGCGAGCCCGCGAGGGUUAGCGAAUCACAAAAAACAUGUCACAGUUCGGAUUGGGGUCUGCAACUCGACCCUAUGAAGCUGGAAUCGCUAGUAAUCGCAUAUCAGCCAUGAUGCGGUGAAUACGUUCCCGGACCUUGUACACACCGCCCGUCAAGCCAUGGGAGUUGGGUAGACCUGAAGCGGAAGGUAAAAUACUUCGUUAGGGUAGAACCAGCGACUGGGGC